CUCCCGGAUGUUAGCGGCGGACGGGUGAGUAACACGUGGGUAACCUGCCUGUAAGACUGGGAUAACUCCGGGAAACCGGAGCUAAUACCGGAUAGUUCCUUGAACCGCAUGGUUCAAGGAUGAAAGACGGUUUCGGCUGUCACUUACAGAUGGACCCGCGGCGCAUUAGCUAGUUGGUGAGGUAACGGCUCACCAAGGCGACGAUGCGUAGCCGACCUGAGAGGGUGAUCGGCCACACUGGGACUGAGACACGGCCCAGACUCCUACGGGAGGCAGCAGUAGGGAAUCUUCCGCAAUGGACGAAAGUCUGACGGAGCAACGCCGCGUGAGUGAUGAAGGUUUUCGGAUCGUAAAGCUCUGUUGUUAGGGAAGAACAAGUGCAAGAGUAACUGCUUGCACCUUGACGGUACCUAACCAGAAAGCCACGGCUAACUACGUGCCAGCAGCCGCGGUAAUACGUAGGUGGCAAGCGUUGUCCGGAAUUAUUGGGCGUAAAGGGCUCGCAGGCGGUUUCUUAAGUCUGAUGUGAAAGCCCCCGGCUCAACCGGGGAGGGUCAUUGGAAACUGGGAAACUUGAGUGCAGAAGAGGAGAGUGGAAUUCCACGUGUAGCGGUGAAAUGCGUAGAGAUGUGGAGGAACACCAGUGGCGAAGGCGACUCUCUGGUCUGUAACUGACGCUGAGGAGCGAAAGCGUGGGGAGCGAACAGGAUUAGAUACCCUGGUAGUCCACGCCGUAAACGAUGAGUGCUAAGUGUUAGGGGGUUUCCGCCCCUUAGUGCUGCAGCUAACGCAUUAAGCACUCCGCCUGGGGAGUACGGUCGCAAGACUGAAACUCAAAGGAAUUGACGGGGGCCCGCACAAGCGGUGGAGCAUGUGGUUUAAUUCGAAGCAACGCGAAGAACCUUACCAGGUCUUGACAUCCUCUGACAACCCUAGAGAUAGGGCUUUCCCUUCGGGGACAGAGUGACAGGUGGUGCAUGGUUGUCGUCAGCUCGUGUCCUGAGAUGUUGGGUUAAGUCCCGCAACGAGCGCAACCCUUGAUCUUAGUUG
This 1050-nucleotide ribosomal RNA is filed under the name Bacillus aerophilus. Its description in RNAcentral is "bacterial SSU rRNA". It matches the Rfam family "Bacterial small subunit ribosomal RNA", at positions 82 to 1117 of the family's 1533-position model. Lineage: Bacteria; Bacillati; Bacillota; Bacilli; Caryophanales; Bacillaceae. The record is from RNAcentral.